Molecule: ribosomal RNA, 253 nt
Filed under: uncultured bacterium
Lineage: Bacteria
Description: partial 16S ribosomal RNA
Rfam family: Bacterial small subunit ribosomal RNA
Source: RNAcentral
UACGUAGGGUGCGAGCGUUGUCCGGAAUUAUUGGGCGUAAAGAGCUUGUAGGCGGUCUGUCGCGUCUGCUGUGAAAAUCCGGGGCUCAACCCCGGACUCGCAGUGGGUACGGGCAGACUAGAGUGUGGUAGGGGAGACUGGAAUUCCUGGUGUAGCGGUGAAAUGCGCAGAUAUCAGGAGGAACACCGAUGGCGAAGGCAGGUCUCUGGGCCACUACUGACGCUGAGAAGCGAAAGCAUGGGGAGCGAACAGG